This is a long non-coding RNA of Fundulus heteroclitus (mummichog), 230 nucleotides long. RefSeq lists it as uncharacterized. NCBI's taxonomy places the organism in Eukaryota, Metazoa, Chordata, Actinopteri, Cyprinodontiformes, Fundulidae. The transcript has 2 exons. The record is from RefSeq and is a predicted model, not a curated record.
UACGGCUCAUCCUGCUCACGUUUGCUCUCACGGUUCUGAUCUCCUGCCUGUCCUCCGACCACCGAAACACCCGCCGCUGGAACUUUAUGAGCGGCAACCGCCGCAGCGAAUUGACGACCCGCCUGCUGGGAUCCACUGGGACUGAACUGAACAUUAAGACCAGAGGAUCCCGCUGUAGACGCUGACGCCUCCCGCUCCGCACCUGAUCUUAAUAAACUGUUAAACUUGAA